Molecule: non-coding RNA, 324 nt
Organism: Vicia faba (fava bean)
Lineage: Eukaryota; Viridiplantae; Streptophyta; Magnoliopsida; Fabales; Fabaceae
Source: the annotation of a GenBank genome assembly
AUGAGAAACAAAAGGAUGAAUUGUUGGUGCCAAGAAGAGUGUGUGAUGCGUACUGUUACAGAUCUGAAUAGUGUCAAUGUUGGGGAAAAAUUUUGGGGCUGUAGAAAUUACAAGAAUCAAUUGGAGAAGGGAUGCAAUUUUUUCAAGUGGGUAGGUGAUGAAGUUGUUGAUGGAAGGAAUUUGAAGAUUGAAAGGCAAAGGAAGAAAAUUUUGAAGUUGAAUAAUGAGGUGCUAAGCACAAGAGGACUGUUGAAGAAUGCAAUAGUGUUAACCAUAAUUAGUCUAGGGCUUAAUUUAGUCUUUGUAACCCUGUAUUUGAAAUAG